RNAcentral lists this long non-coding RNA (307 nucleotides) under Pan troglodytes (chimpanzee). RNAcentral's name for it is "long non-coding RNA NONPTRT015897". Lineage: Eukaryota; Metazoa; Chordata; Mammalia; Primates; Hominidae. The record is from RNAcentral.
CCCUUUUUGAAGAAAUAUUGGAGAAGUCUCCAUUCCGGGAACCUCCUCCUUCUCAUCCAUGGAAAGGGAAGAAGGAUGCCUGGAGUGGGAUAAAGAAAAUAUAGAAAAGGAAGGGAGUGUCUUCACAUCCCAGCGGGGCACAUGGAGGAGGAGGAGGUGCUGACUAUGGACAGCAAGAAGCAACAUCACCAUCACAAAACACCCACCCAGGGCAGGGGCCCUUUCAACAAGGAGCAUAAGAGACUGUUUCUGCCUCUGAUGGAAGCCCAGCAUUUUGUUUUUCUCCACAUAUUUUAAUCAAUAUUUA